RNAcentral lists this transfer RNA (76 nucleotides) under Rhodospirillaceae bacterium. RNAcentral describes it as "tRNA-Ala". It matches the Rfam family "tRNA". From Rfam's summary of the family: Transfer RNA (tRNA) molecules are approximately 80 nucleotides in length. Their secondary structure includes four short double-helical elements and three loops (D, anti-codon, and T loops). Lineage: Bacteria; Pseudomonadati; Pseudomonadota; Alphaproteobacteria; Rhodospirillales; Rhodospirillaceae. The record is from RNAcentral.
GGGGCCGUAGCUCAGUUGGGAGAGCGCCGCUUUUGCAAGGCGGAGGUCGAGGGUUCGAGACCCUCCGGCUCCACCA